UACGUAGGGGCUAGCGUUAUCCGGAAUUACUGGGCGUAAAGGGUGCGUAGGCGGUCUUUCAAGCCAGAAGUGAAAGGCUACGGCUCAACCGUAGUAAGCUUUUGGAACUGUAAGACUUGAGUGCAGGAGAGGAGAGUGGAAUUCCUAGUGUAGCGGUGAAAUGCGUAGAUAUUACACAGAACACCAAUUGCGAAGGCAGCUUUCUGGCCCAUUACUGACGCUGAGGCACGAAAGCGUGGGGAUCGAACAGGAUUAGAUACCCCGGUAGUCCCUGA
RNAcentral lists this ribosomal RNA (275 nucleotides) under uncultured prokaryote. Its description in RNAcentral is "partial 16S ribosomal RNA". It matches the Rfam family "Bacterial small subunit ribosomal RNA", at positions 524 to 800 of the family's 1533-position model. The record is from RNAcentral.